UUUAAAGUUUUAUUCUUUCUUAAGCUUUGUAAUAUUAUAAAAAGUGUGAUAUAAAGGGUUAUAAGCAAAUGGUUUAAAGUAAAUAGUAAAUAGUAAAUAGUAAGUUGUGGGGUUAAGGUAAAGUUAAUUAAAUUUUAUAGGAAGGAGUUGUUAAAGGAGAGCUAAAAUUAAAAUAAAAGAGAAAUUACUUAAAGAACGGAAAUAAAAAUUGACCUAUAUGUACGUUAAUAUAUAUAUAUAUAUAUAUAAUGUUAUAAACAAAUAGAUAUAUGUAAAUAUUUAUUUUUCAUAAUUAUUCUAGAUAUGAUAUAGUACCUGUAAUAGAAUAAUAAUUCUAGUCUCUUUAAAUCUGAAGUAAUUCCAGCGGUCCUUUUGCUUUUCUCCGUUAGAGAGAAGGUGGCUGGAAAGACAGCUUGGAAUUACUUCAAAGUCAUUAGAUCCAUUAAAGUGAGUAAUUUAAUAAAUUUUAUAUAGAUUUAAGUAAAAAAUAAAAAUUAUAGUUUAUAAUAAAUAAAAUCUCAGCAUAAAUCAUUAGACAAUACAUGUAAAUGUGAUCUGGUAAUAGUUAGAAACCUGAUUAAAUAUUGUGCCAGCAGUCGCGGUUAGACUUUAGGGUUGAGUGAAAGUUAUUGGUUUAUUAGUUAAGAGGGGAUUAUUAUAGAUUUAAAAAAAUAAAAAGUGAAAUUAGAUUAUUUUUUAUAAAUUAAAUUAAUUUAAACUGAAGCUAGAAAAUUUCUAGGCCUAAACUAGGAUUAGAUACCCUAUUAUACUGGAGUUUAAUAAUAUAACUUGAACAUUAAUAGUUAUAAUCUAAAAAUUUGAAGAAUUUGGCGGUGGUUUAGUCUUGUCAGAGGAACCUGUUUUAUAAUCGAUACACCACGAAAAUCUUACUUAUUUUUGUUAAAUCAGCUUGUAUACCAUCAUUAUCAGAUAAUUUUUAAAGAAAUAUUAUUGAUAUUUUAAUUAUAAUUAAAAUUAGAUCAAGGUGCAGCCGAUAAAUAAGUUUAAAUGGGUUACAAUAAUCUUAAAUUAUAUGGAAUGAUUUUUUAAAUAAGGUCAAAAAAGAGGAUUUGAUUGUAAUAAAAGCUUAAUAUGCUUAAAAGAUAAAAGCUCUAAAUCAUGUACAUAUCGCCCGUCGCUUUCAUUUAGAGAUGAAAUAAGUCGUAACAUAGUAGGCUCACUGGAAAGUAAGCCUGGAUUAAU
Molecule: non-coding RNA, 1203 nt
Filed under: Chionoecetes japonicus x Chionoecetes opilio
Lineage: Eukaryota; Metazoa; Arthropoda; Malacostraca; Decapoda; Majidae
Description: 12S ribosomal RNA
Rfam family: Microsporidia small subunit ribosomal RNA (bases 792-1196)
Source: RNAcentral